RNAcentral lists this ribosomal RNA (449 nucleotides) under Boophis sp. 23 MV-2009. RNAcentral describes it as "partial 16S ribosomal RNA". It matches the Rfam family "Bacterial large subunit ribosomal RNA", at positions 1981 to 2597 of the family's 2925-position model. Lineage: Eukaryota; Metazoa; Chordata; Amphibia; Anura; Mantellidae. The record is from RNAcentral.
UGAGGACUAGAAUCAACGGCACCACGAGGAUCCCACUGUCUCCCCACUCCAAUCAAUGAAACUGAUCUCCCCGUGAAGAAGCGGGGAUACAGAUAUAAGACGAGAAGACCCCAUGGAGCUUUAAACCCAACAACACCCAUUUACUUUUGCCCCCACAUUCAUAAGGCCCUGUUUGUUUGGUUUUAGGUUGGGGUGACCGCGGAGCAUAAAAUAACCUCCACGAAGAAUGGACUAAUAAUCCUUAUCAGAGAAAUACGCUUCUAAGAAUUAAUAAACUAAUUUUUAAUGAUCCGAUAUUCGAUCAACGAACCAAGUUACCCUGGGGAUAACAGCGCAAUCCAUUUUAAGAGCUCUUAUCGACAAAUGGGUUUACGACCUCGAUGUUGGAUCAGGGUAUCCUAGUGGUGCAGCAGCUACUAAUGGUUCGUUUGUUCAACGAUUAAAACCCU